Molecule: non-coding RNA, 257 nt
Organism: Pelobates cultripes (western spadefoot toad)
Lineage: Eukaryota; Metazoa; Chordata; Amphibia; Anura; Pelobatidae
Source: the annotation of a GenBank genome assembly
CACACCUCCCCUGGCUAUGGCCCACACAGUCAACAUAAAAAACCAUAUUAAAACACAAUGUGUUUAAUUUAUCUCUAUUAAUUGAACUUUAAUAAUGCACAGUAACCUUCUGCAGGUUCUAUCUGGUUAUAAACAGAGCAGGAGAUAAUAAAUCCUGGAACUAAACAGAUUGUGCAAUAAAUCAAGUUUAAACAUUACAUCUCUCUUUGCAGGAAGUGCUUAGGAAGACUGUGCAAGUCACAUGCAGGGGUGUGUGG